Molecule: long non-coding RNA, 801 nt
Organism: Hipposideros armiger (great roundleaf bat)
Lineage: Eukaryota; Metazoa; Chordata; Mammalia; Chiroptera; Hipposideridae
Exons: 5
Source: RefSeq, a predicted model, not a curated record
GGUUUCGGGAGGAGGAGGAGGAAGCAGCGGCGCCGGCGGUAGGACACUCCGGCCGCUCAGCCCCCCGGGCAUUGACGUAGGGCGUUCAGCCUUCUCCUAGUCAGCAUCAUAUCCGGUCUGGACUGAUGCAGCUUCUUCCCAGCUUCACUCUUGUCCCUCUACAAUCGAUUCUCCACGCAACAGCCAGAUUGAUCUUCUUUGCGCAGGUAGAGCUUGAGAGGGAAGACAACAAAAUACUGCAAAAGGACGACUGAAACUAUCCUUGACUCUAUACCCACACUUCCACUGAGUGGCGAGGUGUAGAAAGGGGAGGACGUUUGGGGAGAGGCUUCAUUGCAGGCACACGCAGCUACGACUACCUAGAAAGCAAUCUUAUCCAGGUGACUAAACAGCAACCUGUACAAUUUCCUAUGUGAAGUCCAAGAGCACUGGACUAGACGAGGGGCAUCCCUUCUCUAGAAGCCUGAUGGUGGUCAGCCAAUUCCUAUUUGAAAAUUUGCAGAUAUAAGUGAAACAAUGCUUACUUUUGGAAAUGGACAAAUCUAAGAUGAAUUCUGAGGUGGACCACACAAAGAGAAUGAUGGGAAUACGGAGGAGGAAAACGGAAGAUACAAGACAACAAAAAGUUUGACUUUAGGUUUCAUAGGUUUGAGAUUUCUAUAAGAUGUCCCAAUGAGGAUGCCCAGUAAGCAAUUAGAAGUGGCGGGGAGGGGUCUCAAGCACAGGAGAGAAGUCAAAAAUUGGAAAAAUGGAGUGGGGAGGGAUAUGUAUGUGUAGGUCAUGGCACAUACAUGGUAUCUC